UUUGCGGGAUUGUUACACGCUGCGGGGUGUUCCUCAGCACUUUGUCCCGUGUUCGGGGCUAUUUCUGAGUGGGUUUAAAGCGACAGAGAGGGUGUCAGCUCCAGGCCGUGUUUGUGCCCGCGUUUGUUUGUCUGCUGCUUGAAGCAGUUUGAUCGACUUUCCUAGGCCCCGGCCAGGAUUUAAGCCCUAUACUGCAAUGAUUCUGCCACCGGAAAGGAGGUUGUGAGCUGGUGACCUGUCUCCUUUCACAAGUACCAAGUGAUAAGACAAGAGAAAAUGAACUCAGGCUGCACCAGAGAUAGAGAGUGUGGGACAAUGUCAGACCUAGCUGGCACAAACCCUUCGGGAGGAAGCAAAGAAAAUUGAGGAAUCCAGGGAAAAGUAAAAUCUGCAUUGGAAGAAGAUGGAGCUGAUAAUGGAGGCAAUUCACAAAACCAGGAAAAUGCAGUCCAAGAAGACUAUGGAGGUAAAGCAAACGUUCUGAUAUUUCUUGCUAUAUGGCUUAACACAUCUAACACACGUGCACAGUGGUGGCGCAGUCUUAAAUAUGAGGGUUUU
Molecule: long non-coding RNA, 558 nt
Organism: Melopsittacus undulatus (budgerigar)
Lineage: Eukaryota; Metazoa; Chordata; Aves; Psittaciformes; Psittaculidae
Exons: 4
Source: RefSeq, a predicted model, not a curated record